UGACUGGGGCACAACUGGGACAUGGACAAAGUUGAACUUAGCUGCUUUCCACCCUUCCCACCUUUCGGGAACCUUCCUUAUUGCUUUGGCCUGCCUCGCAUCAUCUCUCAACCUGUCUGGGUUCCCAGUCCUGCGACAUCUUGCUGGUAGAACUCUCCCUUCAGCUGUAAUUGAUAAAUGACUCAGGAGAUUGUUUCGAUAUGAAGUAAAGUCAUCAGUACACAGAUAUUUGAGCAAACUGAUGGUGAACCAAACGUAUUUGACACCCAGAACGGACCACUUUUCACCUCCUUCUUUUGCAAAGCAUUCCCUUACUGCCAGCACUUGAGGCAGACUGCGCUCAUGGUCCUCCCUUUGGUACUCCACUGGUACCCAAUUAAGUUGAAAUGCUGAAGAUAAGAAAAUGUGAUGAAAAUCGUGCAUUAGAGUUUCAAUUGCGUUAAUGAAUAUGAUGAAAUACAAAAGCCACAGUGUUUUUAGAGUGGAGAAAGUCUUGUAAAUAGAAAUAUGAAGUCAGCCAAAUUGAAAGAGCACCGUAACUCUUCCUUCUGAAAUUGCAUCAAAACAAGAUCACAGUAUAGAGUUGCCCUCAAAUUGCCAAGCAAAAGAAGCCUGAUGGAGGAGCUUUACUGAAGGCUGGUGCCCUGGAAAUGGGUAGAUCAUCGAGGACCAGCAGCCUUACCAUUUCUCUUCAGUGCACAACUGGGUAAAAUGAAGACAUCUCUCAAG
This 729-nucleotide long non-coding RNA is filed under the name Equus asinus (donkey). RNAcentral describes it as "lncRNA (ENSEASG00005036970.1)". Lineage: Eukaryota; Metazoa; Chordata; Mammalia; Perissodactyla; Equidae. The record is from RNAcentral.